This 72-nucleotide small nucleolar RNA is filed under the name Rhinolophus ferrumequinum (greater horseshoe bat). RNAcentral describes it as "Small nucleolar RNA SNORD45 (ENSRFEG00010005609.1)". It matches the Rfam family "Small nucleolar RNA SNORD45". Rfam says of the family: U45 belongs to the C/D class of snoRNA which contain the C (UGAUGA) and D (CUGA) box motifs. Most of the members of the box C/D family function in directing site-specific 2'-O-methylation of substrate RNAs. Lineage: Eukaryota; Metazoa; Chordata; Mammalia; Chiroptera; Rhinolophidae. The record is from Rfam by way of RNAcentral.
GGUCAGUGAUGUGAUGGCAUGUAUUAGCUGAGUCCAAAGUUGAUGAAAAUACUGAAAUGACACUGAGACCUU